CCGGAAGCGCUGGCGCACCGCGACGCCCCAAGUCGAGCUCGCUCACCGAUGGAAAUUCCGGCCGUCAAGCCGCACUACCACCCAGCAGUGGGCCAGGCAGGUGUCGUCAGCCUCGAAGUCCCUCACGUACUCGAACUUGCUUUUUGCCAUGGUCGCCCCCAAUCUCAGGGGUUCCAGAAGUCGUGAGGAUGUGGUUGACGGAGGACUUGGAAAAAGAUGUUAGGAAAAGAGAAAGAGGAAAUUAAAUAUGCAAUACUGAUUAAAAGGAAGAGGUGGAUAAAGAAGAAAAAGAGAGAGAGACAGAAGAAGAAAGAAAGAAAAGAACAGAAUAGAAUUUGGUGCGUAUAAAAUGUUUUGAGGCCCUAUAUCACAAAGAACUCUAAUACUUUUUAGAAAAGGCAAGGUAUUAAGACAUCUUGAUAUAAUAUAAAGAUAUUAUUAUUGAUACAGAGACAGAAUCAUAUUCACUGAAGUGUUAAUUUCACCACAUAGCUAUGAGUUAUAGGGCUGCAUAUAGAGUGGCCUGUAAUCAUUUGGCCCUGAAAGGGUCAUACGUUGGUAGAGAGAUUGAUGCAGGCGGAUAUCUCAAUUUAAUUUUUUCCAGUGACUGGGCUGGCUUAUCGAAUAAAAGAAUUUAAAU
Nomascus leucogenys (northern white-cheeked gibbon) is the source of this 640-nucleotide long non-coding RNA. RefSeq lists it as uncharacterized. The record is from RefSeq and is a predicted model, not a curated record. The transcript has 3 exons. NCBI's taxonomy places the organism in Eukaryota, Metazoa, Chordata, Mammalia, Primates, Hylobatidae.